Molecule: ribosomal RNA, 120 nt
Filed under: uncultured bacterium
Lineage: Bacteria
Description: partial 16S ribosomal RNA
Rfam family: Bacterial small subunit ribosomal RNA
Source: RNAcentral
UCGGUGGAGGAUGGACUCGCGGCCUAUCAGCUUGUUGGUGAGGUAAUGGCUCACCAAGGCGACGACGGGUAGCCGGCCUGAGAGGGCGACCGGCCACACUGGGACUGAGACACGGCCCAG